AUUGCAGAAAUCAACAGAUAUUUUCUUUAAAAUGUGAAUUAUUACAUGAAAUUAUUUCGCCAACUGUUUUAAAAAUUUGUAAUUGGCGAAUUUGGCGAGUGCCAGAGCUAGCCCUGUGAACUACAUUUUAACUAACAGUAACAGUGCACACAAAAGAUAAGGUAGCUUGUACAUUGUACAAACGUUUUAGUACCAGAUACCAAGGGCAAAAUAAGGGAUGGGUAUUUCCUCAAAGUCGACCAAUACACAAUGAUAUACGGUAACCAAACGUUUCUUCUUUUUCUUUUUGUUUUGCUUUUCAGUUUUUUUUGUUUGUUUGUUUGUUUUUUUAAUUUUAAUGGUGGGGUGGGUUGGGGCUGUGCAACCAUCCUCCUUUAAUUUUCACCCAGCAAGAUACUAUAUAGGUACAAUUUAAUGUCACCCUUGGAACACUUUUCAUGUCAUAUCAUCACCGAAAACUUGAGCGACUUCGUCUCAUAAACACCAGGUUCCAUUAAAUGUUAUCUUAUACUAGUAGUCCAUGAUUCCAUUUAUAAUAAAUUCUUGUUUAUUGAAGUUUAUUGACAUACAUUGAAGAAAUCCCAUGCCUCAACUGGGAUCCGAACCCAUUACCUACCAGCCUGUAGACCGAUGGCCUAACCACGACGUCACCGAGGCCGGUAGUAAUGCAAGAGAAUACACAAAUAAUACUUCACUAACAGUCGGACCUGUUAUCACACUUACAAAUAAUCCACCUGGUAAUUUAAAAUUAGCACUGAGUUAUCUCCCAUGUACAUAUAUUUCAGGUUGCUACAGUGGAUGAUCGAUGAAUUGUCUCCCAUUAAUUUGCAGAUCGAAUCGACUGUGGUGCUGGGAAGUUUGUCUAAAGGAACUGAUGAGAACAUUAACGCCAUUGUAGAUGCUGGAUGUGUAUCAGUCUUGUUGAAAGGUUUGUCCAACCCAAACUUGAAGUAUGUGGAAGUGUGUCUUAGAUGUCUGUGAACAAUUUUCAUGUGCAAUAAAACAGCUAUAGACCUAGUUUAUCAGCAAUGGGUUCCAGAUGCUGUGGUCCUAUAUUGGUGUUCGCCUCUGCUGAAUGGAUCGCAACAGACUGUGAAGACGCCUGGUGGCUGGAUGUUGAACCUUGAAGUCCAUGAGAUUCUCC
Molecule: unclassified non-coding RNA, 1144 nt
Filed under: Gigantopelta aegis
Lineage: Eukaryota; Metazoa; Mollusca; Gastropoda; Neomphalida; Peltospiridae
Description: armadillo repeat-containing protein 8-like, transcript variant X3
Source: RNAcentral